GAAGGUAUAGCUCAGUGGUAAGGGUAUGUGCUUAGCAUGCACAAGGUCCUGGGUCCCAUCCCCAGUACCCCCA
Molecule: transfer RNA, 73 nt
Filed under: Camelus bactrianus (Bactrian camel)
Lineage: Eukaryota; Metazoa; Chordata; Mammalia; Artiodactyla; Camelidae
Also listed under: 3 other names
Rfam family: tRNA
About the family: Transfer RNA (tRNA) molecules are approximately 80 nucleotides in length.
Source: Rfam by way of RNAcentral